This 502-nucleotide ribosomal RNA is filed under the name uncultured bacterium. Its description in RNAcentral is "partial 16S ribosomal RNA". It matches the Rfam family "Bacterial small subunit ribosomal RNA", at positions 30 to 523 of the family's 1533-position model. The record is from RNAcentral.
AUUGAACGCUGGCGGCAUGCCUUACACAUGCAAGUCGAACGGCAGCACGGGUGCUUGCACCUGGUGGCGAGUGGCGAACGGGUGAGUAAUACAUCGGAACGUACCUUAUCGUGGGGGAUAACGCAGCGAAAGUUGCGCUAAUACCGCAUACGCCCUGAGGGGGAAAGCGGGGGACCGUAAGGCCUCGCGCGAUUAGAGCGGCCGAUGUCUGAUUAGCUUGUUGGUGAGGUAAAAGCUCACAAAGGCGAUGAUCAGUAGCUGGUCUGAGAGGACGAUCAGCCACACUGGGACUGAGACACGGCCCAGACUCCUACGGGAGGCAGCAGUGGGGAAUUUUGGACAAUGGGCGAAAGCCUGAUCCAGCCAUGCCGCGUGAGUGAAGAAGGCCUUCGGGUUGUAAAGCUCUUUCGGCUGGGAAGAAAUCGCACAGGCUAAUACUCUGUGUGGAUGACGGUACCAGCACAAGAAGCACCGGCUAACUACGUGCCAGCAGCCGCGGUAA